UGCAUGUGUAAGUAUAAAUAGUUAACUUUGAAACUGCGAAUGGCUCAUUAUAUCAGUUAUAGUUUAUUUGAUGAAGAAUACUAAUUGGAUAACCGUAGUAAUUCUAGAGCUAAUACAUGUAUAAAGUCUUGUAGACUGCAUUUAUUAGAAUGAAAACCAUAGGUUUCGGCCUAUUCGUGAGUAAUAAUAACUAAUCAUAUCGUAUGCUUAUGUAACGAUGUGUCUUUCAAGUUUCUGCCCUAUCAGCUUUCGAUGGUAGUGUAUUGGACUACCAUGGCAGUAACGGGUAACGAAGAAUUUGGGUUCGAUUUC
RNAcentral lists this ribosomal RNA (312 nucleotides) under Blastocystis sp. subtype 3. RNAcentral's name for it is "bacterial SSU rRNA". It matches the Rfam family "Eukaryotic small subunit ribosomal RNA", at positions 52 to 384 of the family's 1831-position model. The record is from RNAcentral. Lineage: Eukaryota; Bigyra; Opalinata; Blastocystidae.